This 322-nucleotide ribosomal RNA is filed under the name uncultured eukaryote. Its description in RNAcentral is "partial 18S ribosomal RNA". It matches the Rfam family "Eukaryotic small subunit ribosomal RNA", at positions 1470 to 1796 of the family's 1831-position model. The record is from RNAcentral.
CCCUUAGAUGUUCUGGGCCGCACGCGUGCUACACUGACCGGUGCAACAAGUUUCUUUCCUUGGCUCGAUAGGCCUGGGUAAUCUUUGAACACCGGUCGUGAUGGGGAUAGAUCCUUGCAAUUUUUGAUCUUCAACGAGGAAUUCCUAGUAAACGCAAGUCAUCAGCUUGCAUUGAUUACGUCCCUGCCCUUUGUACACACCGCCCGUCGCACCUACCGAUUGAAUGGUCCGGUGAAAUCUCGGGACGGCGGCUUGGUCGCUUGCGUCCGACUGCUGAAACUUGAUUAAACCAUAUCAUUUAGAGGAAGGUGAAGUCGUAACA